CGGUCACUUACGACGGUGUUGAUUUAAUCGGCUACACGCCGUGGGGCAUUAUUGAUAUUGUCUCCUUCACAACUGGC
Molecule: transfer RNA, 77 nt
Filed under: Bacillus subtilis subsp. subtilis str. BSP1
Lineage: Bacteria; Bacillati; Bacillota; Bacilli; Caryophanales; Bacillaceae
Description: tRNA-Pro
Source: RNAcentral